GGAUGUGAGGGCGAUCUGGCUGCAACAUCUGUCACCCCAUUGAUCGCCAGGGUUGAUUCGGCUGAUCUGGCUGGCUAGGCGGGUGUCCCCUUCCUCCCUCACCGCUCCAUGUGCGUCCCUCCCGAAGCUGCGUGCUCGGUGGAAGAGGACGACCAUCCCUGCUAGAGGAGGACUGGUCUUCGGUCAAGGAUAUACGAGUAGCUGCGCUCCCCUGUUAGCACCUCCAAACAAGCUCUCAAAUUGGUUCAUCUUUUGAAAGGGGCAAAAUGUUUUUAUUUAUUUAGAAAGUGAAAGAGAAAGCGAGGGAGGGGGGAAGGGAGAGAUCAGUCUUUAUCU
Unclassified non-coding RNA from Ochotona princeps (American pika), 336 nucleotides. Its record names the gene 7SK. It matches the Rfam family "7SK RNA". Rfam says of the family: 7SK was discovered as an abundant small nuclear RNA in the mid-70s but a possible function has only recently been suggested. NCBI's taxonomy places the organism in Eukaryota, Metazoa, Chordata, Mammalia, Lagomorpha, Ochotonidae. The record is from Ensembl.